Molecule: ribosomal RNA, 356 nt
Filed under: uncultured bacterium
Lineage: Bacteria
Description: bacterial SSU rRNA
Rfam family: Bacterial small subunit ribosomal RNA
Source: RNAcentral
GGGCCCGCACAAGCGGUGGAGCAUGUGGUUUAAUUCGAAGCAACGCGAAGAACCUUACCAGUCCUUGACAUGGGUAGUAUGGAUUUUGGAGACAAUUUCCUUCAGUUCGGCUGGCUACCACACAGGUGCUGCACGGCUGUCGUCAGCUCGUGUCGUGAGAUGUUGGUUAAGUCCCGCAACGAGCGCAACCCUCAUCUUUAGUUGCCAUCGGUUCGGCCGGGCACUCUAAAGAAACUGCCUGCGAUGAGCAGGAGGAAGGCGGGACGACGUCAAGUCAUCAUGGCCCUUAUGGACUGGGCUACACACGUGCUACAAUGGCGGUGACAAUAGGCAGCGAAAGGGCGACCUGGAGCAAA